This 356-nucleotide unclassified non-coding RNA is filed under the name soil metagenome. RNAcentral describes it as "partial contains 5.8S ribosomal RNA, internal transcribed spacer 2, and large subunit ribosomal RNA". The stretch from base 1 to 121 matches the Rfam family "5.8S ribosomal RNA", at positions 35 to 154 of the family's 154-position model. The record is from RNAcentral.
GAUGAAGAACGCAGCGAAAUGCGAUAAGUAAUGCGAAUUGCAGAAUUUCCGUGAGUCAUCGAAUCUUUGAACGCACAUUGCGCCCAUUGGUAUUCCGAUGGGCAUGCCUGUUCGAGCGUCAUUAUCUUCCCUCAAACCUCGCGUUUGGUGUUGGGCCGUGCUGGUUCCUGCGGGACCAACUGGCCUCAAAGACAAUGAUGGCGUCCGUGGGGACCCUCGAUGCAACGAGCUUUUCUCAGGAGCACGCGUCGAGUUUUAAAGGACCUUCCGGGCCGGUCUCUCAUGUUGUUACAUAAGGUUGACCUCGGAUCAGGUAGGGAUACCCGCUGAACUUAAGCAUAUCAAUAAGCGGAGGA